UUUCACUCUCUUUAUCCUCCAGCCAUUGUCCACACCUUCUCUCAACCUCCUCAACCCUAAAUCCAAAUCAUCCUUCUAUGAUGUAGCUUAGGUAGUGGUGAUGUGUGUCUAGCCCUCACGGUUGGCGGCACCACUGUUCAACCAAUCCAGUCUAACGAUUGUGGUUUAAAGUUGAAAGGGUUUGUUUCCAUCGGCAUCGAAACCAUAUGGUGUUAUCAUUCGUGUCUCCUCUUUUGGUUCAUGUGGAUAAGUGUAGCCAUCCUCCCUCGUGAUCAAUAUCAGUUUGGUCCACCAUAUUUCUAAAUUAUCCUUCACUAGUGUGUGGUUUGUAUUUUUUUUCCUUUUUUUUUUUUUUUUCUCUAUUUGAUUCUAGAUUUGUUGCAAUCUGUAGGUUUUAACGUUUUAGAUUUGCCUACACCGCGCCAGUGGUUUUGGAGUUGGUUAGAUGGUGGUUCUAUUCAUGGAGUGGGUUUUCCGUUUAAGAUGUUUUCUAGCUUAGAUCUGGGGUUCAUUGCCUCUGAUGUGUUUGACUACAUUCGUACACAAGUAUAUUGUUAACGAAUGUCAUAAUAUGCAUUGUUUGUAAAAUCAACAGUGAAACAACGUUCGGAUGCUAUCAGAACUGUACUUCUAGUACUCAAAUAGUAGUGGUCAAAAAGGUUAAACCUUUGGAAUUGGAAUUGAAGAACUCCUCAAUUUGUUUGAUUUGAAUGAAACAAUACAAUGCUUCAAAUAAAAUAAGAGAAAGCUUCAUGUUGAAUUGUAUUUAGGAAUCAUAUGUAGAAAAACUACUAAUUCAUAAUAAUUUGUUACACAUAUUAUAGUUCUUUAUGGCCAAGGACUAAGCUUAUACAAUCAUAUAUCUUUGUAACCCUACAAUAACUUGAUAAAGAUAGAAGAAAUAAAAGCUAAUCUUAGUGAUAAAUAUGAAAUUCACUCAUGCUACUUCAUCAACAGAUGCUAAGGCAUUGAGAGGGGAUCCAUAAAAAAAAGUAAUGAAC
Molecule: long non-coding RNA, 1001 nt
Organism: Trifolium pratense (red clover)
Lineage: Eukaryota; Viridiplantae; Streptophyta; Magnoliopsida; Fabales; Fabaceae
Exons: 3
Source: RefSeq, a predicted model, not a curated record